AGUGAACGCUGGCGGUAGGCCUAACACAUGCAAGUCGAACGGCAGCACAGUAAGAGCUUGCUCUUACGGGUGGCGAGUGGCGGACGGGUGAGGAAUACAUCGGAAUCUACUUUUUCGUGGGGGAUAACGUAGGGAAACUUACGCUAAUACCGCAUACGACCUACGGGUGAAAGCAGGGGAUCUUCGGACCUUGCGCGAUUGAAUGAGCCGAUGUCGGAUUAGCUAGUUGGCGGGGUAAAGGCCCACCAAGGCGACGAUCCGUAGCUGGUCUGAGAGGAUGAUCAGACACGCUGGAACUGAGACACGGUCCAGACUCCUACGGGAGGCAGCAGUGGGGAAUAUUGGACAAUGGGCGCAAGCCUGAUCCAGCCAUACCGCGUGGGUGAAGAAGGCCUUCGGGUUGUAAAACCCUUUUGUUGGGAAAGAAAAGCAGCAGGUUAAUACCCCGCUGUUCUGACGGUACCCAAAGAAUAAGCACCGGCUAACUUCGUG
Molecule: ribosomal RNA, 492 nt
Filed under: uncultured bacterium
Lineage: Bacteria
Description: partial 16S ribosomal RNA
Rfam family: Bacterial small subunit ribosomal RNA
Source: RNAcentral